This is a long non-coding RNA of Tupaia belangeri chinensis (Chinese tree shrew), 1187 nucleotides long. RefSeq lists it as uncharacterized. NCBI's taxonomy places the organism in Eukaryota, Metazoa, Chordata, Mammalia, Scandentia, Tupaiidae. The record is from RefSeq and is a predicted model, not a curated record. The transcript is spliced from 3 exons.
AGGUUGAAAUGUGACUGUAUGAAGCUGUAAACAAGAAGCAACGUGUUGGAAUUGGACUUUGGCUGUAAAUGAAGUUGUGUGUUGGGAAAUUCUCCAAGAAACUGGCUUCUGAAAAGAACUCAGAGGGCUAAGCAGAUUCAGAAACUUGAAGGGAGAGUAAUGGAAAAUGUUUAUUGGAAAAAAUAAUCAUCAAGUGGUGAACAGAUGGAGAGAAAGAUGAUGCAAGAAUGACAGAAUGUUGAUCAUUGUUGAAGCUGGGUGAGAAGUGUAGAGUCGUUCAUUAUUCAUUAUUCUGUUCUUUGUGUUUGUUUCGAAGUGUUUACAAUAAGUGUUUUAAGAAUUGGCUCACAAAAAUACUGGACAACUGCUCACAUGCUUUAUUAUAAAAACGUCAUAAAAACCCUGAAAAGCUUUAAGUUUAAGAACCUAGCUGGGCGAGUUGGUGAAUGCCUGUAGCUCCAGCUAUUCAGGAGGCUGAGACAGGAGGAUUACAAGUUUAAGACCAGUCUGGACAAUAUAGCAAGCCCUUGUCAGAAAGACAAAUGAAAUGGAGGGAAAGAAGAAAGGAGAGCGAGAGAGAAAGAAAAGGGACGGAGGGAAAAGAAUAGAGAGAGAAAGAACAAGGAAGGAGGAAGGGAAGGAAGGAAGAAGGCAGGAAGGCUGGCAUCUGUAAAACCCUUCUUGACAUAUUACUCGUUUAUUUAAUACUACACAUGAAAACGCACAGCAACAUGAACUCUGUUAUAUGUUUGUCAUUUUUAAAAAAUAAAAUAGAGAGUACAUACAUGAGACAAAGAGACAGAAAACACCCUCCACAGGUCUUGUCACACUGUAAUCCCAUGUCCCCGGUCCUCCAACUCAUCAAGAUUGUGGGCGCUCACGCACAUGCCCAGUGUUUUCAGGCCAACCCCGAGUUCUAAACCGAAUAGCUUCCAGCCUUGCAGGACACUUGCAUUACUGCUGCACCACAGUGGCCAGGCCUGACAUAGGAUUAGUUGUACUGACUACAUGUUAACUGUAGUCACAUAGUUAUCUUUCUCUAAGCAGACAUGUGGAGACCUAGAUUUUAAAAGACCCAUGUAAGGCUCCCUUUCUAAGUAAUGGCAUGUUUACGAUAAAUUUAAAUAGAUGCUCAGAAAUGACAUGAAAAAUUUAAUGCUAAUUUCUAGACAUAAAUAAAUAAGGUC